This 484-nucleotide ribosomal RNA is filed under the name uncultured bacterium. Its description in RNAcentral is "partial 16S ribosomal RNA". It matches the Rfam family "Bacterial small subunit ribosomal RNA", at positions 30 to 507 of the family's 1533-position model. The record is from RNAcentral.
AUUGAACGCUAGCGGGAUGCUUUACACAUGCAAGUCGAACGGCAGCGCGGACUUCGGUCUGGCGGCGAGUGGCGAACGGGUGAGUAAUGUAUCGGAACGUGCCCAGUAGCGGGGGAUAACUACGCGAAAGCGUAGCUAAUACAGCAUACGCCCUACGGGGGAAAGCAGGGGAUCGUAAGACCUUGCCCUAUUGGAUCUGCCGAUAUCGGAUUAGCUAGUUGGUGAGGUAACGGCUAACCAAGGCGACGAUCCGUAGCUGGUUUGAGAGGACGACCAGCCACACUGGGACUGAGACACGGCCCAGACUCCUACGGGAGGCAGCAGUGGGGAAUUUUGGACAAUGGGGGCAACCCUGAUCCAGCCAUCCCGCGUGUGCGAUGAAGGCCUUCGGGUUGUAAAGCACUUUUGGCAGGAAAGAAACGUCGCGGGCUAAUACCCCGUGGAACUGACGGUACCUGCAGAAUAAGCACCGGCUAACUACGUG